AGGGAGGCAGGCGAGGCGAGGCAAGGCAAGGCAGGGCGGGCGGGCGAGUGAUAGCUAGCUAGGCGAUAGGGAGCGGGAGAAGAAGGGAACCAGAGCCGAGCAGGGCAUGAAGAUGGCGGACGCCAAGCAGAAGCGGAACGAGCAGCUGAAGCGCUGGAUCGGCUCCGAGACCGACCAGGAGCCGCCGGUGGUGAAGCGCAAGAAGACCAAGGUGAAGUUCGACGACGGCGCCGUCUUCCUGGCCGCCUGCUCGAGCGGAGACACCGACGAGGUGCUCCGGCUGCUGGAGCGAGGCGCCGACAUCAACUACGCCAAUGUGGACGGGCUCACCGCGCUGCACCAGGCUUGCAUAGAUGAUAAUGUAGAUAUGGUGAAAUUUCUGGUGGAAAAUGGAGCCAGUAUUAAUCAACCAGAUAAUGAAGGCUGGAUACCUCUACAUGCGGCUGCUUCCUGUGGAUAUCUUGAUAUAGCAGAAUAUUUAAUUAGUCAUGGAGCACAUGUAGGAGCUGUAAAUAGUGAAGGGGACACUCCAUUAGAUAUUGCUGAAGAAGAGGCAAUGGAAGAGUUGCUUCAAAAUGAAGUGAAUCGGCAAGGGGUUGAUAUAGAGGCAGCUCGCAAAGAAGAAGAACGAAUAAUGCUUAGAGAUGCAAGACAGUGGCUUAACAGUGGUCACAUAAAUGAUGUUCGGCAUGCAAAAUCUGGUGGCACAGCACUCCAUGUAGCUGCUGCUAAAGGGUAUACAGAAGUAUUAAAACUUUUAAUACAGGCUGGCUAUGAUGUAAAUAUUAAAGAUUUUGAUGGCUGGACACCACUUCAUGCGGCUGCUCAUUGGGGUAAAGAAGAAGCAUGUCGAAUAUUGGUGGAAAACUUGUGUGAUAUGGAGACUGUUAACAAAGUGGGUCAGACAGCAUUUGAUGUAGCAGAUGAAGACAUUUUAGGAUAUUUAGAAGAACUUCAAAAGAAACAAAAUAUGCUUCAUAGUGAAAAAAAGGAGAAGAAAUCACCCCUUAUUGAAUCUACAGCAAACAUGGACAACAAUCAGUCUCAAAAACCGUUUAAAAAUAAAGAGACUUUGAUCAUUGAGCAAGAUAAGAAUGCAUCAAACAUUGAGUCUCUAGAGCAAGAAAAAGCUGAUGAAGAGGAAGAAGGAAAGAAAGAUGAGUCCAGUUGCUCUAGUGAAGAAGAUGAGGAAGAAGACUCCGAAUCUGAAGCAGAAACAGACAAGAACAAACCUACAACAAAUAAUUCAAAUACCACCAAUGUGCAAGCUGCUCCUAUAGCUGUGACAACACCAUCAGUUACUACUGGUCAAGUGACACCUACAUCCCCCAUUAAGAAGUUCCCAACUUCAGCUAAGGUUUCUCCCAAAGAAGAAGAGAGAAAAGAUGAGUCUCCUGCUUCAUGGAGACUAGGUCUUCGAAAGACUGGCAGUUAUGGGGCACUGGCAGAGAUUACAGCUAGCAAAGAAACUCAGAAAGAAAAGGAUUCGACAGGAGUUAUGCGAUCAGCUUCAAGCCCUAGAUUGUCCUCUUCAUUAGACAACAAAGACAAGGAUAAAGAUACAAAAGGAACUAGGCUUGCAUAUGUUGCUCCUACAAUUCCAAGAAGGCUGGCCAGUACAUCUGACAUUGAAGAGAAAGAAAACAGGGAUACGUCAGCCAGUUUAAUACGUGGUAGUGGUUCUUACACAAGAAGAAAAUGGGAAGAAGAUGCAAAGAAAAAUAUCUCAAAUGAAGGAUCUUCACCACUAAACACAACCUAUCAAAGAAGUGCUUCCUUUGGUAGAAGACAAGAUGACUUGAUUAGUUCUAGUAUUCCAAGUAUUACGUCAGUAUCAACAGUUACCUCCCCUGCUGGUCUUCAGAAAAGCCUGCUUUCCAGCACAAGCACUGCUACAAAGGUUACAACGGGUUCAGCAACAGCAGGCAUACAAAGCAGUACCUCAAAUCGUUUAUGGGCUGAGGAUAGUACUGAGAGAGACAAAGACAAUGUUCCUACGGCAGUGACCGUUCCUGUUGCACCAUCAAUUGUAAAUACUGCGACUACCACAGCCUUGACUACAACUACUUCUGGCACUGUGUCCUCAACUUCAGAGGUCAGGGAGAGACGCAGGUCAUACCUCACUCCAGUUCGGGAUGAAGAAUCUGAAUCCCAAAGAAAAGCUAGAUCAAGGCAAGCAAGGCAGUCCAGAAGAUCCACUCAGGGGGUAACGCUGACUGAUCUUCAAGAAGCUGAAAAAACUAUUGGCAGAAGUCGUGGUACACGAACCAGAGAGCAAGAAAACGAAGAAAAAGAAAAGGAAGAAAAGGAAAAACAGGACAAAGAAAAACAGGAAGAAAAGAAAGAAUCUGAAUCGAAAGAUGAUGAUUAUAGACAAAGAUACACACGGACCAUAGAGGAGCCAUAUCAUCGCUAUAGAACUACACCUACAACUACUUCAUCAACUUCUUCAGUUGCCACAUCUAGUUCUUCAAGCCAACUAAACAGACCAAACAGCCUUAUAGGUAUAACUUCUGCUUACUCCAGAAGUGGAGCAAAGGAAAAUGAGAGAGAAACAGGGAAGAAAGAAGAAGAAAAAGAAGAAGAUAAAUCACAGACAAAAUCAAUAAGGGAAAGGCGACGGCCAAGAGAAAAACGAAGAUCUACAGGAGUUUCUUUUUGGACUCAGGAUAGUGAUGAAAAUGAACAAGAACACCCAUCUGAUUCAGAAGAGGGAACAAAUAAAAAAGAAACACAGAGUGAAAGCAUUUCAAGAUAUGACACAGGAUCAUCAGGAGAUCGUUACGAUUCAGUACUAGGACGGACUGGAUACAGUUACUUGGAAGAUCGCAAAUCAUAUUCCAGCAAGCUAGAAAAAGAAGAUACAGCAGAUUUUAAAAAGCUUUAUGAACAGAUUGUAGCUGAAAAUGAAAAAUUGAAAGCACAGUUGCAUGAUACCAACAUGGAACUGACGGAUCUCAAACUACAGUUGGAAAAGGCAACUCAGAGGCAGGAAAGAUUUGCUGAUAGGUCUCUGCUAGAAAUGGAAAAAAAGGGUGACCGACAAGAGUCAGUAUCCUCGCAGCGGAAAGAAGAGCUCUAGAAAGGCGGAUAUCUGAAAUGGAAGAGGAACUCAAAAAUACAUUUCAAGUAAAGCAUGUUCAGGCUUUGGAGGCAUUUAAAUGAGCGACUGCUGACUGAGAAUAGGGCCUUGACCAGAGUGGUUACCAAGCUGUCAGGUGCCUGCAGGCACCGACAUUCUGUGGACUUAUGCUACCAGACCUGAAGGCCGAUAACCAGAGGCUAAAAGAUGAAAAUGGGGCUUUGAUCAGAGUUAUCAGCAAGCUUUCCAAAUAAAAUUGUUUACUCCAGCUGCAAAUCAUGGGAAUGCACAUAAUUAGUAUCUCCAGUGGACCAUAGCAUGGAAGUCACUGGAAGUCUGGGAAGAUUUCUUGGAGACUGUCAUUUUCAGAUAUUCUGCCAAAUGCCCUCUUCCCUGGGGGUGUGUUUUUUUUAACCAAGAUCAUUGUUUCAUGUGUUAAAGCAGCUGCUGAGAAGACAUAAUGACUGAGAAAUCUUGUUUACAGCUACUGCAUAUAAGGAAAGUGUUCAAGGCCAGAUAAGCCUCAGAUAUUUAACCAGUAAGCCUUAGUUGUACAUAAACACAUGCAUCAAAAAAAGCUUUCUGCUACCACAGACAGUUACUUUUAUUUUGUUGUGUCACAGUUCCUGGUUUUUUUCCCUAUCCUGCAGUUUUUCUCUCUUACAUCUUAAGUUUGGAUUUGUGUGUAUUUCCUUCUAAUUAUUCAUAUACCAGAUUUUUUCGUUGUACAGUAUUUUCACAGCUUUACAUUUACACACCCCUUUAAAAAUGCAACAUGUAGCUAACUAAGCCUGUAUUGUCCAGCCAGCCACCCCAAAACAGAGAGGUUUUGUGGAACCUUUGCUUUCACUGUUGUGCAAUAUGCAUUAUUUCCUAUAAAAGAUGCUUUAAAAGUCAGUUGCAAGUAGAUUGGUUAUUUUAAAAUUCCUGUCUUCUGCCUUUAUUGGUCACUUUUUAAAAGAAAAGAAAAAGGUUUGUAGUGCAAGUUGUUAGAUCCUGUAACCAUCACCUUCAUUUUAGCAGGUACUAAGUGAUGCUGUAUAUAUUAAUGUAUAUUGUUUGGAGUUUUCAGACCACCACUUGACAUGCUUGAAUAUAUUUCCCUAUUGCAAUUGUGUGUUAAAACAAAAUUGGCUGCUCCACAGUAGUGUUUAACAAAGUCCAUUUGGUUUAAAUUUAGAAAUUCUACUUGGUAUGGAGUCAGUCUUUACAAAAAAUUGAAACUAAAAACAAUAUUUUAUCCCCUUCCAUUUUUUAUUUGAGUGAUCACCCAUAAUAAAACUUAAGUAUAACUUCUUCACUACAUUUCACAUAUCUGUGUUUGAGUGCUGUCUGAAACUGUUGUGCUAGCCAAAGUAAUCUUUAAGUCAUUUGAAAGCCCUAACCUAUUCAUUUACGUGCACUGCUAAUGCCAUGUGAAGAGGCAUCUAAGUUGAUACCACCACGUUCAGACCAUUUUAUACAUUUCAGUGGCCUUUUAAAAAGUACUCCAGUGAAGAUAGCUUUUGUUAGAAAACAAACAGCUUUUAUAUUUUCACUAAAACCUACUAAAUAUAACCAUCUUCUGGCCUACAGACUAUUGCCUAAAAACCACUGAACAGCUCAGCCAUUAAAAUAAAUUGUAUAUUGUAAAGCUUGUAGUAGCUAUUGUAUUAUUGAUUAUAUUGUAUACUAUAUUAAAUGUGAAUUUGUACCCCUUCAUUUUAAAAGGUCAUUGUGUUCUACUUCCUACUUCUUGGGGAUGGGACUCACUUCAUUUUGGGGUGGGCAAAAGAGAACAACUGUUUGGGGCAAGGAGGACGUGAGUCCCCUUCAUAGGGUUGGGUGAUUUGGGGAGGGGGGGAGGGAGGUUUUUUGAAGAUGUAAGGUUUUGCUCUUACUACCAAGCUCAGGAUUCUUGAUUUUAAAGGUACAAGGAUAGUUCUGGGAUAUCUUGUUACAGUAGGUCUGUAUGAGUCAUAAGUUUGAAGGUGGACAUAUUUCAUGGUCUUAAGCUAAUACAAACCAAGCAGAGAAAAUAUCCAUCUGAAUGGCUGCAACACGCUGCAUAGUGUUGUUGAAUUGUUAGGCAUACUGUGGAUUAUAUUUGGUCAAGUUCUGGAUGCCUGUGAAUGAUUAAAUGUGUAUCUAAUAUUUUAGUGUUUUAUAUAUAGGUUAUUUAUUCUUUAAAAACUGAAUGGCUACUGUGUUACGUUGAUUUUAUUGGUAGUAUUGAGCAGACCUUGCAUCUGCAUGAAACUACUUGCAAAACCCACUAUUUUGCAAAAAAAAAAAUGUAUUUUGACAUAUACAAAUAAAAUGAAUAAAACUAUUUUAAAUGUGUGGAUUUCACUGAGAAGACAUUUUAAACGUGAAUUUGGUAUUUAAAUUCUUUGUGGGCAUUUUUUUAUUGCUUCACUGGGAUGCAAAGUACUUUUCAGAGAUUGUAAUCAAAUUGUGUUUGCACAGCUGUAAAUGCAAAAGUAAAAAUGCCAUAUUUAUGCAAUCUGUAACAAAAUUGAAAAAUGUUUAUAUAUUUUACAUAAACCUGUCUGCAUGGAGAAACUA
RNA transcript from Lacerta agilis (Sand lizard), 5629 nucleotides. It is a transcript of the gene named protein phosphatase 1 regulatory subunit 12A, with no coding region annotated. The record is from RefSeq and is a predicted model, not a curated record. Lineage: Eukaryota; Metazoa; Chordata; Lepidosauria; Squamata; Lacertidae. The transcript has 26 exons.